Molecule: unclassified non-coding RNA, 295 nt
Filed under: Hevea brasiliensis (rubber tree)
Lineage: Eukaryota; Viridiplantae; Streptophyta; Magnoliopsida; Malpighiales; Euphorbiaceae
Source: RNAcentral
GUCUAAUUAGUAAAUUUUGUGUACUCUAUUUAGAAGUCCAAGUUCAAUUGAAUAAGGAGUUCAAAUAUAACUUUAAAGUGAUGAGUUAUCUUGACUAUAUAUAUAUAUACCUGAAUGCAGUGCUUCAUUUUAGAGAGUAAAAGUUGCAAAGAAAAUUCUGAAGAUGGUCCAAAUUUGACCAUCUUGUACCUUAGUCAUGAUGCUUAGGAAAUUUGGUGUGAUGCCUAAGAAUUUCCAAGUGUUAAGCACAGAACCCAUCAUUUUUUUUUUUCAAUUUCUUGACUAAAUAAGAAUU